GACGAACGCUGGCGGCGUGCUUAACACAUGCAAGUCGAGCGGUAAGGCCCUUUCGGGGGUACACGAGCGGCGAACGGGUGAGUAACACGUGGGUGACCUGCCCUUAGCUCUGGGAUAAGCCUGGGAAACUGGGUCUAAUACCGGAUAUGACUCCAUGACGCAUGUUGUGGGGUGGAAAGCCUUGUGCGGCUAGGGAUGGGCCCGCGGCCUAUCAGCUUGUUGGUGGGGUGAUGGCCUACCAAGGCGACGACGGGUAGCCGGCCUGAGGGGCGACCGGCCACACUGGGACUGAGACACGGGCCCAGACUCCUACGGGAGGCAGCAGUGGGGAAUCUUGCGCAAUGGGCGAAAGCCUGACGCAGCGACGCCGCGUGAGGGAUGACGGCC
This 387-nucleotide ribosomal RNA is filed under the name uncultured bacterium. RNAcentral's name for it is "bacterial SSU rRNA". It matches the Rfam family "Bacterial small subunit ribosomal RNA", at positions 28 to 416 of the family's 1533-position model. The record is from RNAcentral.